CCUUAAUCAGGGGGAUAGCCCGAAGAAAUUCGGAUUAACACCGCAUAAAAUCACAGUAUAGCAUUGUACAAUGAUCAAAUAUUUAUAGGAUUAAGAUGGGCAUGCGUGACAUUAGUUAGUUGGCGGGGUAACGGCCCACCAAGACCACGAUGUCUAGGGGAUCUGAGAGGAUGACCCCCCACACUGGUACUGAGACACGGACCAGACUCCUACGGGAGGCAGCAGUAAGGAAUAUUGGUCAAUGGAGGCAACGCGGAACCAGCCAUGCCGCGUGCAGGAAGACAGCCCUCUGGGUCGUAAACUGCUUUUAUUCGGGAAUAAACCUAUCUACGUGUAGAUAGCUGAAUGUACCGAAGGAAUAAGGAUCGGCUAACUCCGUGCCAGCAGCCGCGGUAAUACGGAGGAUCCAAGCGUUAUCCGGAUUUAUUGGGUUUAAAGGGUGCGUAGGCGGCUUAUUAAGUCAGGGGUGAAAGACGGUGGCUCAACCAUCGCAGUGCCUUUGAUACUGAUGAGCUUGAAUAUACUAGAGGUAGGCGGAAUGUGACAAGUAGCGGU
Molecule: ribosomal RNA, 555 nt
Filed under: uncultured Pedobacter sp.
Lineage: Bacteria; Pseudomonadati; Bacteroidota; Sphingobacteriia; Sphingobacteriales; Sphingobacteriaceae
Description: bacterial SSU rRNA
Rfam family: Bacterial small subunit ribosomal RNA
Source: RNAcentral